UUACAGUGAAGUACGUCGCCAGGUAGGUUUCACUGCUCGUGUACAAAGAGGGACCACUAUUGGACUUUUUUCCACAGUCGUUCGAGGAUCAGCCGAAGGUGAACUUGUCUGUCUACAAUCCGGAGUUACCAUCUAUUAUUCAUCCCGCUUCCUGUACUGAAACGGAAUACAGUGUGAAUUAUAUCUGGAAUUUGAAAAGGGAUUUAAUUCGGAAAAAAAACUUUUGAACUUUUGAAAAGUUGAAGAUACAAAUGGCUCGAUUGUCGAGAAAUGGUUUGCUGUACUGGUUAUUGGCUGCGUCGAUGGCAGUUACAUGCUACGCAGCUGCUGCUGCUGAUCCUGCUGUCGAUUCCAAGCCCGCAUUGCAAAAUUUCGCUGAAUCGACCGAAAAAGUCAAAAGUCGAGACAGUCACGCACUCAAAUCUGAUGUGUCGUACACCAAUUAUUUGAAAGCACCUCAAAUCCAACCUCCGACACCAGUAGCGUUGUCAGGAUCAGCAGCAGGUGUUUCCUUUCCGUCCAUCGCCCAGCCAGCGGCCCAGCCAGCGGUCCAGCCUGCAGUUCAUCCGGCAUCCCAUUCGAUUCCUGUUCCAGCUUUGUACAGUAACCCACAAGAAACCACCAUGGGCUACGUGUAUUAUUACCUACCGCAGGUUGCCGAGAAAUACUACCCCAAGCUCAAAGAUCUGAUGCCCUACGUCAAACAUUAUGGAUACGCUGCAUCUCGAGCGUGGCAAAACAUGCCCAGCAUGCGUCAAAUGGCCGACAGGACGUUCGAUAUCACUUCAGCCAUUGGACUGGUCCUGUUGGCUCCCGUCAUGCUCAUAUCCAGCGUUCUCUUCUUGGGUUUCAUUGUGAUCCUCUUCUUCUUUCCUGCCGUGUCGGCGUUUGGCCGGAGACGAAUGGGACGCGAUUUGUCAGCUGUGGAAGAUCUCAACGAAGUUUUGGAUUUCGAUCGAUUCUUGCCGAUGGAGCAGUCCAGAACUUUGGCGUCGUUGGCUGCCCGCGUUGACGACGUGCUGGACAAUUACAUGCGCGCAUUCAAGAGCGACACCUGCCUGGAGAAAUUUUCUUGUCAAGCUGGCCAAAUGACUAGCCGGCUUGGCAAAUUGACUGAGCCCAUUAUCACGUUACUGGAGCCUCUGGUUCCUGCGUACAUGUACAAAAAGCUGGAGGCAUUCAAAAACGGUGCCCGCAGUGGCAGCGCCGAUUGCAGCGAAAUGAAAUGCAAACUUCCUUUCAUCGGAUAAGAACAACGUUUUUCACCCUCAACUAAUUCAACAGCUACCUAGUUUAUUUCGUUGCACAUUACCAGCCUUUAUUUUUUAAUUUAAUGAGACUCAAUCAGAGUCUACUUCGUUUCCCAAUGGAGGGCAAGCUGGUCUUGCUAUUAUAUUCAUUACGUUCCAGGAACCUGAUCAAUGCGAGCUAAAUACAAAUACCGUCACUCUCAGAUUGAGUUCUUCUAAUGAUUUGAAAAAAAAAGUACAUAGCAAAGUGCCAAGAAAAACGUUAUAAACACAGGUCAACGAAGAAACGACAGAACAUAAAUUGCUCGAUUCUUCCGCGUAUUGGACGAGUUGGGAUUAAACCACAUAUUUAUGCAAAGAGAGCUGGAAACACGUUUUUUAAGGCCAUUCAGCUGAUAUACUAGGAAGAUUCUUUGGGACGAUUUCCACAGUCUUUCGACAAACAGCCAAAGGUGAACUCCUUCGCCAUCAAUCCAAUGUUAACUGAUUCCGAUUUGCAGGUUAGUGAAUUUACUAUAGCGAAAUUCGUCGCUUUCUCGCUUUCAAAUCUGAACUGAAAGGUUUUUGUGACUAUUCUUUUAUUUUGCGUUAAGGUUGAAAAUAUGGCUAGAUUAUCGGGAAACUGGUUACUACCUUUUUUAUUAGCUGCGUCGUUAGCAGCUGCUGCACCAUCGGCCAUCGAUUCCACUGAUCCUGCCCUGGAUUCGAAACCCGUUUCCUUCGAAUCCGUCAAGAAUAACCUCGAAAACCGAAAAGGUCGCGCGCUCCAACCUGAUGAGUCACACGCUAACUAUGUUAGAUAUAAGAUGUCACAGCAAUCUGCUACAUCACUACCAUUGCCACCGAAUAUUCAUGGUUUUCCGUUCGUCCAACAAUUGAUCCAUCCGGAUACUUACUCGAUUCCUGACGCGCCUUCAUACAAUAAAUUGAACGAAUAUUCGAGUUCUUUCAAGAUGCUCAAACUGCAGGCAGAAAAAUAUUCUUCGAAGCUCAAAAAUCGGAUGCCUAUAAACUUGAAACCUCAUGUUGCAGUCGCUGCAUCUCGAGUCUGGCGAACUAUUCCAAGCAGAAGUGAAAUAGCUGACAGAGACAGAGUAACAUUCGGAACAAUCACUACUCUGCUGAAUUUUCUCAUUCCUUUAUUCAUCUCUGUGCCCAUUCUUUUAGUUGCUUUUGUUAUAUUGAUGGUAAGAAACUUCUUCUCGGGAAUCGCACAAGUGGGUCGAAGACGCGUGGGCCGAAACUUGUCGAUCGCGGAGGAUCUCAACGAAGUUUUUGAUUUUGAUCUUUUUUUGCCGGCUGGACAAUCUAGAAAUUUAGCAUCUCUUUCUGCUCGCGUGAAUAGAAUGCUCGAUGCCUACAUGACUGCUUAUAAGGACGGCACCUGCAUGGAGAAAUAUUCUUGCCAAUCUGGCCAGAUGACUAGCCGGAUUGGCAGGUUUACUGAGCCCAUUAUCACGUUACUGGAGCCUCUAAUUCCGGCGUAUGUGUACAGAAAUCUGAAGGCAUUCAAAAAAGGCGCCCGUAGUGGCAACGCCGAUUGCAGCGAAAUGAAAUGCAAACUUCCUUUCAUCGGAUAAGAACAACGUUUUUCACCCUCAAAUAAUUCAACAGCUACCUAGUUUAUUUCGUUGCACAUUACCAGCCUUUAUUUUUUAAUUUAAUGAGACUCAAAUCAGAGUCUACUUCGUUUCCCAAUGGAGGGCAAGCUGGUCUUGCUUUUAUAUUCAUUACGUUCCAGGAACCUGAUCAAUGUGUACUAAAUACAAAUACCGUCACUCU
This 3032-nucleotide unclassified non-coding RNA is filed under the name Daphnia pulex (common water flea). RNAcentral describes it as "uncharacterized LOC124188300, transcript variant X5". Lineage: Eukaryota; Metazoa; Arthropoda; Branchiopoda; Diplostraca; Daphniidae. The record is from RNAcentral.